Molecule: ribosomal RNA, 272 nt
Filed under: Bdellovibrio sp.
Lineage: Bacteria; Pseudomonadati; Bdellovibrionota; Bdellovibrionia; Bdellovibrionales; Pseudobdellovibrionaceae
Description: partial 16S ribosomal RNA
Rfam family: Bacterial small subunit ribosomal RNA
Source: RNAcentral
UUUAACUGGAGAGUUUGAUUCUGGCUCAGAACAAACGCUGGCGGCGUGCCUAAUACAUGCAAGUCGAACGAGGAAAGCUUUCGGGUGAGUACUAGUGGCGCACGGGUGAGGAAUACAUGGGUAAUCUGCCCUCAAGUUUGGGAUAACAAGUCGAAAGAUUUGCUAAUACCGGAUAAGACCACAGGAGCUGAGGCUCUAGGGGUUAAAGGUUUUUCGCUUGAGGAUGAGCCCAUGUGGGAUUAGCUAGUUGGUGAGGUAAUGGCUCACCAAGG